This is a long non-coding RNA of Pipistrellus kuhlii (Kuhl's pipistrelle), 692 nucleotides long. RefSeq lists it as uncharacterized. The record is from RefSeq and is a predicted model, not a curated record. The transcript is spliced from 2 exons. NCBI's taxonomy places the organism in Eukaryota, Metazoa, Chordata, Mammalia, Chiroptera, Vespertilionidae.
UCAGUGUUCGGGGCACCACGGGAGCCCCAGCGGAGGAGCUGAUGGGAAGCUGGACUGCGGAAGUGGAAAAACUUUGAGUUCCCUUUGUUCUCCAGUGUAUCUUGUAUAAAAUAUUACAUUUUUAAACACAUAUUUACAUUGUUUGCACAAAUAGAAAAUGGUUACAAAUCAAGACCAAGCUUGGCCAGGUAACAAACACUUCCCUUCUCCCAAGGACCAAGGCCAGAGAGAGGUCUGAUUGCUUUGUAUUUACAUAUGCAUUAAAAAGUCUGCCUUCUUAGACACGUAGGUGAAGUUUAUAAAAACUGGGUUAACAUCAUAAAUUCAUUUAUGUCAGCUGUACAAAUAAUCAAUACCAAUUAGUCAGUUCAUGUCCUGCACCCUGAAGAAAGAUUUUGAAGCAAAAGAAACCCUCUCAAACAAGCAACACAUCCCUUGGCCUGUCUGCUCCAAUCAGUUUGGCUUGGGGAGGGGGAGUGGGAAGGAAGAGGAGAGGAUUGGGGGAGGGGGGAGAAUGGGAUAACUGGUUGAGACAGUUUUCCUUCCACAUUUUUUUUUUUUUAACAGUUUAGAACCAGGUUAACCCGACUGGCCUGUUAAACACCAUCCUAUGGCUUUAAAAAGAACCCACAGCUCCUUCCUUGUCUCAGAGACAAAACACCUUUCUCAACAUGACUACCGUAUAAUAUUUU